UAUACUAUAAGUUUACCUUUCCAUUCCCGACUAGCAGUUACUAUCUCGCUACUACAGAACAGUCGUAAUCGCUCAGAUUCAAGCGUCAGAGCCAAUAAAACGAUUAAUCGAGGUUGCGGUUCCCGACUUUAAUCAUGUUUUGAUAAAAUUCGUGCCGGAAAUCGUUCGUCUAGGCUUCAGCUGACGCAAGGAAGUCUUAUCCAUUCGGCUUAAUCAAUGUUCUACAACUUGUCCGACAAACAUUUACUUAUUGCUUUUCGAAGCCAACAGUCACGAGUUCUAGGCAUAGUGAAAUUUGCUAUUUUAAAAUGGCAGGAGCAAUCAAAACACACUCAACUGUUGCAAUAUUACUUCUAUUUGUUUCGCUUUCUGCCCUUCUGCCCUUCGCUGCAGAGGCAGCUCGGUGUGAUGGACUUCCUGGCGGAACCUUGCUGAUUCAUGAAAGUUUUGCAGACUGUAAUCGGUACAUUGCCUGCCAACAUGACACCGAUCACGAGUGGUACUGUCCUACUGGGGAAUUUUUCAAUCCACGUAACCUACAAUGUGAAGCCACCUGUCCAACGGGAAGAGAAACCUUAUGGUGUGCUGGAGUGCCGGAUGGUGCUUUCAUUCGCGUACCACCGACGCAGGCUCCUAAUUGUCAACAAUACUACACGUGUUUUGGAGGAAACAUGUUCUUGAACACAUGUCCCCAAGGGUUUUUCUUCUCCCAACUGCUCCAGGCAUGUACUUUUAGCCAAGAUGAUUGCUAAUAUUGUCACUAAUUGUCUAAUAUAACAAUAAAGUUACUACACACUCGGAUAACAUG
Long non-coding RNA from Anopheles merus, 808 nucleotides. RefSeq lists it as uncharacterized. The record is from RefSeq and is a predicted model, not a curated record. The transcript is spliced from 2 exons. Lineage: Eukaryota; Metazoa; Arthropoda; Insecta; Diptera; Culicidae.